CAAAUUGCCCAAUCUCGACUCGGGGAGGUAGUGACGAAAAAUAACAAUUCAAGUCUCUAAACGAGGCCUUGAAGUUGGAACGAGUACACUUUAAAAUUUUUAACGAGUAUCUAUUGGAGGGCAAGUCUGGUGCCAGCAGCCGCGGUAAUUCCAGCUCCAAUAGCGUAUACUAAAGUUGUUGCGGUUAAAAAGCUCGUAGUUGGAUCUUGGAGCAUGUCGAACGGUCGUGCCUCUGGUAUGAACUGCUCGACGUGUUCUUCUAUUUGGUUGCGCGUGUGUGUUCUCUUAAUUGAGUGCCGCACUCGACCGAAACGUUUACCUUGAAAAAAUUAGAGUGUUCAAAGCAGACCUGUUUGUGUCUGAAUAUUCGUGCAUGGAAUAAUGAAAUAUGAACUCGGUUCUAUUUUGUUGGUUUUCGGAACUCGAGUUAAUGAUUAAGAGGGACGGACGGGGGCAUUAGUACUCUGCCGUUAGAGGUGAAAUUCUUGGAUCGGCGGAAGACUAACAACUGCGAAAGCAUUUGCCAAGAAUGUUUUCUUUAAUCAAGAACGAUAGUCGGAGGUUCGAAGACGAUCAGAUACCGUCCUAGUUUCGACUGUAAACUAUGCCAGCUAACGAUCAGACAGCGUUCUCUACGACUUGUCUGGCCGUUUCCGGGAAACCAAAGCUUUUGGGUUCCGGGGGAAGUACGGUUGCAAAGCUGAAACUUAAAGGAAUUGACGGAAGGGCACCACCAGGAGUGGAGCCUG
RNAcentral lists this ribosomal RNA (749 nucleotides) under uncultured marine eukaryote. RNAcentral's name for it is "SSU rRNA". It matches the Rfam family "Eukaryotic small subunit ribosomal RNA", at positions 437 to 1185 of the family's 1831-position model. The record is from RNAcentral.